GUGGAAUUCGCUCAGUUGUUAGAGCGCUUCCUUUGCAUGCGAGAGGUACCGGGUUCGAUACCUGGAUUCUCCA
This is a non-coding RNA of Octopus bimaculoides (California two-spot octopus), 73 nucleotides long. Lineage: Eukaryota; Metazoa; Mollusca; Cephalopoda; Octopoda; Octopodidae. The record is from Rfam.